RNAcentral lists this ribosomal RNA (459 nucleotides) under uncultured bacterium. RNAcentral's name for it is "partial 16S ribosomal RNA". It matches the Rfam family "Bacterial small subunit ribosomal RNA", at positions 338 to 795 of the family's 1533-position model. The record is from RNAcentral.
CCUACGGGAGGCAGCAGUGAGGAAUAUUGGUCAAUGGCCGGAAGGCUGAACCAGCCAAGCCGCGUGAAGGACGAAGGUGCCAAGCAUUGUAAACUUCUUUUAGCAAGGGACAAAAUCAGGCUCGAGAGCCUGACCGAGGGUGCUUGAAGAAAAAGCAUCGGCUAACCCGGUGCCGGCACCCGCGGUAAUAUGGAGGAGGCGAGGGUUUUCCGGAUUUAUUGGGUUUAAGGGGUGCGUAGGCGGACUGUUAAGUCAGCGGUAAAAGCCCGGGGCCCAACCCCGGCGAGCCGUUGAAACUGGCGGUCUUGAGAUGUCGAGGGGUAUGCGGAAUGCGCAGUGUAGCGGUGAAAUGCUUAGAUAUUGCGCAGAACUCCGAUUGCGAAGGCAGGAUUCCGGCGGCGAUCUGACGCUGAGGCACGAAAGCGUGGGUAUCGAACAGGAUUAGAUACCCGAGUAGUC